Long non-coding RNA from Gallus gallus (chicken), 5072 nucleotides. The record is from Ensembl. Lineage: Eukaryota; Metazoa; Chordata; Aves; Galliformes; Phasianidae.
GGGAUGCCGCCCUCCCUAGGGCUGCUCUGGGGCUGUGGGGACACGGCCAUGGGGUCGUGGCACGGUUGGGUUGGGAGGGACCGUAUGGAUCACAGAACUGUGGGAUCACGGCACGAAUUGGGUUGAAGGGACCCUACGGAUCGUAGAGUCACGUCAUGGUUGGGUUGGAGGGGUCCCUAUAGAUUGCAGAAUCACCGAAUCACGGCACGGUUUGGGUCGGAAGGGGCCCUAUAGAUCACAGAAUCACCGAAUCACGGCACGGUUUGGGUCGGAAGGGGCCCUAUAGAUCAUAGAAUCACUGAAUCACGGCACGGUUUGGGUCGGAAGGGGCCCUAUAGAUCACAGAAUCACCGAAUCACGGCACGGUUUGGGUCGGAAGGGGCCCUAUAGAUCACAGAAUCACCGAAUCACGGCACGGUUUGGGUCGGAAGGGGCCCUAUAGAUCACAGAAUCACCGAAUCACGGCACGGUUUGGGUCGGAAGGGGCCCUAUAGAUCACAGAAUCACCGAAUCACGGCACAGUUUGGGUCGGAAGGGGCCCUAUAGAUCACAGAAUCACCGAAUCACUGCACAGUUUGGGUCGGAAGGGGCCCUAUAGAUCACAGAAUCACCGAAUCACGGCACGGUUUGGGUUGGGAGAGGCCCUAUAGAUCACAGAAUCACCGAAUCACGGCACGGUUUGGGUCAGAAGGGGCCCUAUAGAUCACAGAAUCACCAAAUCACUGCACGGUUUGGGUCGGAAGGGGCCCUAUAGAUCACCUCACUGCACCUCCCGCUGCUGGCAGGGCCGGCUCGCAGCACACCGGACUGCUCAGAGCCCCAUCCCCCCUGGGGAGGGGUCACCCACAGCCCCCCCAUGCCCUGUCCCAACCUCUGCCCCCCCUCACAGUGAAGAAUUCCCUCCUAACAUCCGCUCUAGUCCUCCCCUCUCCCAGCUCAAAGCCAUUUCCCCUUAUCCUGUCGCUACCCGCCCUUGUAAGAAGUCCUUCCUAGCUUCCCCCCCCCCACCCCCCCCAGGUCCUGGCAGGGCUAUAAUGGGCUGUAAUGCCCCUUCCCCAGGCUGCACAGCCCCAGCUCUCAGCUAUAAUGCCCCUUCCCCAGGCUGCACAGCCCCAGCUCUCAGCUAUAAUGCCCCUUCCCCAGGCUGCACAGCCCCAGCUCUCAGCUAUAAUGCCCCUUCCCCAGGCUGCACAGCCCCAGCUCUCAGCCUGUCCCUGUUUUGGAGGUGCUCCAUCCUCUGCUCACCUCUGUGACGCACCAACAGCUCCGUGUCCUUCUGCUGCUGGGGGCUCAGACCUGAAUGCAGCGUUCCCGAUGGGGGCUCAGGAGAGCAGAGGGGCAGGACCCCCCCCCAUCCCCCCCCCAUCCCCCCCCAACCCCCCCAUCCCCCACCCUGCUGGCUGCACUGCUCCCAAAGCAAGGCAGGAUUUGGGCAGCCCUCUUUCAUCGACCCACACCCCCAAACCCUCCUCACAGCCCUGCUGAAGCCAUGCUGCUUACCACCAACCACCCCAUCCUUCUUUUCCGUGACCCCCCUGUGUGCCCCACAGUCCCGCAGGCACAGAGGGGAAACCUCUGCUGUGCAGUUCUCCCCCCCCCCCCCCCCCCCCCAUUUUUCCCCUUCCUGGGAACGGGAGCUGUGUGUCCCCUUUUCCAACCCAUGGGAAUGUCUCCCAAUGCCACCACCUUCCGAAUACGAUGGAGGGCAGCGUGGCGGCAUCACCCCGCAGCUCCCCCUGAACCCAUGGAGGGAUCUCGUCGGCCCCAUAGCACCUUCAGGCCCUACAGCUGCUUUCAGACCUCAUCUUUGGGGGGCAGAUCGUCCUUCUCUCAGUUCCUUCCUUUGCUCUCUGCAGUUUGGGCGCUGCGGGCAGAGGAGGCAUUGAGCACCGCUGCUUUCUGUGUGUGCCUCAUGAUGCUGUGAGCUGUGGGUCGGGAUGGGCCCUAUAGACCACAGAAUCGCGUGGUUGGGUUGAAAGGGACCCUGUAGGUCAUAGAACCAUGGGAUCACUGAGUGGUUGGGAUGGGAGGACCCUAUGGAUCAUAAAACCAUGGGAUCACUGAGUGGUUGGGUUGACAGGGACCCUAUAGAUCAUAAAACCAUGGGAUCACUGAGUGGUUGGGAUGGGAGGACCCUAUGGAUCAUAAAACCAUGGGAUCACUGAGUGGUUGGGUUGAAAGGGACCUUAUAGGUCAUAGAACCAUGGGAUCACUGAGUGGUUGGGAUGAGAGGACCCCAUCGAUCAUAGAACCAUGGGAUCACUGAGUGGUUGGGACGGGAGGACCCUAUGGAUCAUAAAACCAUGGGAUCACUGAGUGGAGUGGUUGGGUUGAAAGGGACCCUAUAGAUCACAGAAUAACAUUGUUGGGUUGGAGGGGCCCUAUAGAUCACUGAACCGAGGGAUCACAACACGGGUGUGUUGGAAGGGACCCUAUAGAUGACAGAAUCACAUCCUUGGGUUGGAACAGACCAUAUAGAUCACAGAACAAUGGGAUCACAGCUAGGGUGGGUUGGAAGGGACCCUAUAGAUCACAGAAUCACAUCGUUGGGUUGAAGGGGCCCUAUAGAUCACAGAACCACGGGAUCACAGCACGGGUGGGUUGGAGGGAUCCUAUGGAUCACAGGCAACGGAUGCACAGCACGGUUGCUUUGGAGAGGCCCUAUAGACCACAGACCCAUAGAAUCGCAGCACGGGCGGCUCGGAGGGACCCUACGGUCCCCAGAACCGCGGCAUCACAGCGCCGUUGCGUUGGGAGGGACCUCAAACCCCCGCAGUCCCACCCGGCGCAGCGCUGCCCGCAGCCGCCGCUGCGCGGCUCCCGGUGGCCACGCGGUGCCGCUGCCGCUCUCUACGUGGGGCCGCCCCCCGUUUCCCCCCCCCCCUCCCCCCCCCCCUUUCCCGAUUCGUAGCGCUGCCGUCAGCUCCGCGUCAGCGCGAGCGGAGGUUGGGAUCUCCCCGAUAACAACAGGAAAAGAAAAGCGACAAAAACUCAAAUCCCAAAUAACCGCUUUCGGGGGACGGGAAACCGCAGAGGCGCGGAGCGCAGCGGACGGUCGCGGCUCCGGGCAACGGGCAAACAAACAGCGCGGCGACGGACGGCCGCGGGACCCGGCGGGCCCAACCGCUCCGCGGGGCAGAACCGAACCGGAGCGGCGGGCCGUCCUUCCGGCCGAGAGAGCCGCGCUGCUGCUCGGGUGGUGCUCGGAGCCGCCGCCAACCGGAGCCUCUGCGGGCCGAAAGCCAUUGAGAAACCCCCGGAGGGCCCAAAGCCCCAUUGAGAAAACUCUCAUAGACCCAAAAACCCAUUGAGAAAACUCCCGUAGGGCCCAAAACCCAUCGAGAAAACUGCAAUGGACCCAAAACCCGUUGAAAAAAAAAAAACCUUCUACAGACACAAAAGCCGCUGAGAAAACUCCCGCGGGGCCCAAACCCCAUCGGGAAAAUUCCUCUGGACCCAAAACCCAUUGGGAAAACUCUCAUGGAUCCAAAACCCAUUGAAAAAAAGUCCUAUAGACCCAAAACCCAUUGAGAACCGCCCCCCCCCCAGGGCCCACACCCCAUUGAGAAAACUCCAAUGGACACAAAAUCCGUGGAGAAAACCCCCAUCGACCCCAAACCCCAUUGAGAAAACUCCCACAGACCCAAAACUCAUUGAAAAAGAAAACUUCUACAGAGCCAAAAUCCACUGAGAAAAAUCCUACAGACCCCAAAACCCAUUGGGAAAACUCCUACGGACACAAAACCUAUCAAGAAAAUACCCAUACACCCAAAACUCAUUGAGAAAAACUUCUAUAGACCCAAAUCCUAUUGGGAAAAAAUCCUACUGACCCAAAACCCACUGAGAAAACUCCCACAGGGCCCAGACCCCAUUGGGAAAACUCCUACGGACACAAAACCCGUUAAGAACCCCCCACCCCCACAGGGCCCAAAACCCAAUGAGAAAACCUCCAUACACCCAAACCCCAUUGAGAAAACUCCCACGGGGCCCAGACCCCAUUAGGACAUCUUUGAUGGAUACAAAACCCAUUGAGAAAAAUCCCGUACACCCAAACCCCACUGAGAAAACCCCCAUCGACCCCAAACCCCAUUGAGAAAACUCCCACAGACCCAAAACUCAAUGAAAAAGAAAACUUCUACAGAGCCAAAAUCCACUGAGAAAAAUCCUACAGACCCCAAACCCACUGAGCAAAUUCCCACAGGGCCCAAACCCCAUUGGGAGAACUCCUAUGGACCCGAAACCCAUUGAGAAAACUCCCAUAGACCCAAAUCCUAUUGGGAAAAAUCCUACUGACCCAAAACCCACUGAGAAAACUCCCACAGACCCAAAACCUAUUGGGAAAAUCCUACUGACCCAAAACCCAUUGAGAAAAUUCCCACAGGGCCCAAAACCCAUUGAGAAAUCUCCCAUACACCCAAACCCCAUUGAGAAAAGUCCCACGGGGCCCAAAUCCCAUUGGGAAAACUCCGAUGGACACAAAACCCAUUGAGAAAACCCUCCUGGACCCGAAACCCAUUGAGAAAACUUCUACAGACCCAAAACCCACUGAGAAAAAUCCUACAGGGAUUAGGGUUAGGGUUAGGGUUAGAGUUAUGGGGUCAGGGUUAGGGUUAGAGUUAUGGGGUCAGGGUUAGGGUUAGCGUUAUGGGAUCAGGGUUAGGGUUAGCGUUAUGGGGUCAGGGUUAGGGUUACUGUUAUGGGGUCAGGGUUAGGGUUAGAGUUAUGGGGUCAGGGUUAGGGUUAGAGUUAUGGGGUCAGGAUUAGGGUUAGCAUUAUGGGGUCAGGGUUAGGGUUGGGGUUAGGGUUAGAGUGUUAGGGUCAGGUUUCAGUUUAGGACUGGUGUUGGGUAUGGGGUUGGGGUCGAGGUUGAUUUAUAGGGUCAGAGUUAUGGGGUUAGAGUUAUAGGGACAGGGAUACGGUUUGGGUUAGAGUUAUAGGGUCAGGACUGGUUGGGGUUAGGGUCUGUGUCAGCAUCAGGUUAGGGUUAGGAUCAUAGGGUGAGGGUUGGGUUAUAGGGUCAGGGUUAGGGUCAGGGCCAAGGUUAGGGUUAGGGUUACAGGGUCAGAGUUGGG